RNAcentral lists this transfer RNA (39 nucleotides) under Habenaria psammophila. Its description in RNAcentral is "partial tRNA-Ser". The record is from RNAcentral. Lineage: Eukaryota; Viridiplantae; Streptophyta; Magnoliopsida; Asparagales; Orchidaceae.
UUUUCAAGACCGGGGCUAUCAACCACUCAGCCAUCUCUC